RNAcentral lists this ribosomal RNA (250 nucleotides) under uncultured bacterium. RNAcentral's name for it is "partial 16S ribosomal RNA". It matches the Rfam family "Bacterial small subunit ribosomal RNA", at positions 524 to 773 of the family's 1533-position model. The record is from RNAcentral.
UACGGAGGGUGCAAGCGUUAUCCGGAUUCACUGGGUUUAAAGGGUGCGUAGGUGGAUUGCCAAGUCCGUGGUGAAAUCUCCGAGCUUAACUCGGAAACUGCCGUGGAUACUGGUAGUCUUGAAUAUCGUGGAGGUCAGCGGAAUAUGUCAUGUAGCGGUGAAAUGCUUAGAUAUGACAUGGAACACCAAUUGCGAAGGCAGCUGACUACGCGUAUAUUGACACUCAGGCACGAAAGCGUGGGGAUCAAAC